AGCAGUGCCAUGUGACAUGCCUGAAAGCCCUGCUUUGGUGAGUCAGCCCUGGAGUCACAGAGCUCAGGAGCCCAGGUUCCCCAGCUGCCUGGAUGGGAAACCAAACAGGGCUGAUGGACCUGCAUCCAGUUGUGUAUGUUGAUGAUCCAGCCUCCAGCCUCCAAAGGUGACUUACAUUGUUCAUUGAUUCUCCAAGAAAACUGACAUGAGUUACUGGUCUGUAAGGAAAUAAUAGGAGACCGCUUCCUUGGUAUGUAAGAACUGUUCUUCCAAACUCAUGUAUAAGACUGCGGAUUGGCUCUUCAACUGGCGAAAAUCACCAUUCUUCAGCUGAAGAAAAUGAAUCACCCAUUUUAAUGGCCAUAAGGAAUGUGGCACUCACAGAUCAACAAAGAUGCUACUGUCCUUUCUGCAGCAAUGCCCAGCCACCAUUUCCUUGCUGGUCUUGGAAAUCAAACUCCACAACAUGGGUACUGAGAAAAUGCUGGAAGAUGAGAGGACAGCAAGCUCUAUCUGUUCACACACAGUGGAGAGAGAUCAGAGAGCCAAAAGGUGGCAGAAGAGGAAAGCUGAUUGCUGGUCUCAUGCUGUGUCUGCAGACAACGAUGUUCUCGGAAGAAAAGUUUUCCUGUGACUUCUGUGAAAAGAGGAUGGCACCCACAAACACUGGCUUAAAGUCCUGUACAGAGCUUUAAAA
RNAcentral lists this long non-coding RNA (697 nucleotides) under Gallus gallus (chicken). RNAcentral's name for it is "lncRNA (ENSGALG00010014316.1)". Lineage: Eukaryota; Metazoa; Chordata; Aves; Galliformes; Phasianidae. The record is from RNAcentral.